UACGAAGGGGGCUAGCGUUGCUCGGAAUCACUGGGCGUAAAGCGCACGUAGGCGGAUUGCUAAGUCAGGGGUGAAAUCCUGGAGCUCAACUCCAGAACUGCCUUUGAUACUGGCAACCUUGAGUCCGGGAGAGGUGAGUGGAACUGCGAGUGUAGAGGUGAAAUUCGUAGAUAUUCGCAAGAACACCAGUGGCGAAGGCGGCUCACUGGCCCGGUACUGACGCUGAGGUGCGAAAGCGUGGGGAGCAAACUGG
Molecule: ribosomal RNA, 253 nt
Filed under: uncultured bacterium
Lineage: Bacteria
Description: partial 16S ribosomal RNA
Rfam family: Bacterial small subunit ribosomal RNA
Source: RNAcentral